Molecule: long non-coding RNA, 510 nt
Organism: Pararge aegeria (speckled wood butterfly)
Lineage: Eukaryota; Metazoa; Arthropoda; Insecta; Lepidoptera; Nymphalidae
Exons: 2
Source: RefSeq, a predicted model, not a curated record
CACGUAUUUAUCAGGAACACAAAAUUAACAAUUUGGAAAAUAAAAUAGUGUAAAGAAUAACAGGGCUAGCUACGAAAUAGUGUUGUAUUAUAUUUAUGUUUUACUCAUGAAAGCUGGUUGUGCCAUCAUUAGAUGUAACAAGUGGUGGCUAAUAAUGAUUGAAAUGUGGCAUACUUAGUUGUUAACAACACCCUUAUCUAAAUACAAGGGUGUCGUGUGCGAUACACCACGGUCUUACUUUUGAUGGGUAUAUCUAACAAAUGAUUUUUGGAAGCAAAAUCAUGAUAUAUGGAUUAUUCUUGACGUCUCUGAUUUUAAUGUUAUGGGCGCCUUGUCUGAAAAGGGGUAUGUGGGCUGAACCCGGUGUGGUGUUUGCUAAGGAUCGAAAAAACAGAGUAUUCCGUAUAACACCUACAGGCCAGUGCUGUAGAACCAACAGAAUAUGAAUGUGUUUAUACCUACCUGCAAAGAAAACUAAUUAUGUAAUUAAAUAUAUAUUUAUUUAACCCA